Molecule: ribosomal RNA, 254 nt
Filed under: uncultured bacterium
Lineage: Bacteria
Description: partial 16S ribosomal RNA
Rfam family: Bacterial small subunit ribosomal RNA
Source: RNAcentral
GACGUAGGGCGCGAGCGUUGUCCGGAUUUAUUGGGCGUAAAGGGCGCGCAGGCGGCCACGCACGUCCGUUGUGAAAUCGCUUGGCUCAACUGGGCGGGGUCAGCGGAUACGGCGUGGCUGGAGCAAGCUAGGGGGCAAUGGAAUUCCCGGUGUAGUGGUGGAAUGCGUAGAUAUCGGGAGGAACACCAGUGGCGAAGGCGGUUGCCUGGAGCUUUGCUGACGCUGAGGCGCGAAAGCGUGGGGGAGCGAUCCGG